Non-coding RNA from Caenorhabditis elegans, 21 nucleotides. Lineage: Eukaryota; Metazoa; Nematoda; Chromadorea; Rhabditida; Rhabditidae. The record is from Ensembl.
UGUUCCAAGCAUGUGUGAUGG